UAGAAUGAGGUUCGAAGGAUUGAGCACUUAGCUGUUAACUAAGGUUUUGCGGGAUCGAGGCCCGUCUUUCUAG
RNAcentral lists this transfer RNA (73 nucleotides) under Synapturanus sp. QCAZ 59998. Its description in RNAcentral is "tRNA-Asn". The record is from RNAcentral. Lineage: Eukaryota; Metazoa; Chordata; Amphibia; Anura; Microhylidae. RNAcentral also lists the same sequence under 1 other name.